GCCGAGGUAGCUCAGCGGUAGAGCACUGCUUUCGUAAAGCAGGUGUCGUGGGUCCAAAUCCCACCCUCGGCUCCA
RNAcentral lists this transfer RNA (75 nucleotides) under candidate division WWE3 bacterium RIFCSPLOWO2_02_FULL_53_10. Its description in RNAcentral is "tRNA-Thr". It matches the Rfam family "tRNA". From Rfam's summary of the family: Transfer RNA (tRNA) molecules are approximately 80 nucleotides in length. Their secondary structure includes four short double-helical elements and three loops (D, anti-codon, and T loops). The record is from RNAcentral. Lineage: Bacteria; candidate division WWE3.